Molecule: transfer RNA, 76 nt
Filed under: Mycoplasmatota bacterium
Lineage: Bacteria; Bacillati; Mycoplasmatota
Also listed under: 2 other names
Description: Tenericutes bacterium tRNA-Val
Rfam family: tRNA
About the family: Transfer RNA (tRNA) molecules are approximately 80 nucleotides in length.
Source: RNAcentral
GGAGGAUUAGCUCAGUUGGGAGAGCAUCUGCCUUACAAGCAGAGGGUCGGCGGUUCAAGUCCGUCAUUCUCCACCA